AUCGCUUCUCGGCCUUUUGGCUAAGAUCAAGUGUAAUAUUUACUGGGCAUGUACAAUGUGUUAAACACUGGUAGGUAUCGGAGAUCCAAGCAUUAAAAAGAAACAUUUUGUGAUUAAAUUAAGAAAGUCUGGCUAAGGUAGUUCAGGCAUAAACUUUCUACAAAGA
Ailuropoda melanoleuca (giant panda) is the source of this 166-nucleotide small nuclear RNA. Its record names the gene U2. It matches the Rfam family "U2 spliceosomal RNA". From Rfam's summary of the family: U2 is a small nuclear RNA (snRNA) component of the spliceosome (involved in pre-mRNA splicing). Complementary binding between U2 snRNA (in an area lying towards the 5' end but 3' to hairpin I) and the branchpoint sequence (BPS) of the intron results the bulging out of an unpaired adenosine, on the BPS, which initiates a nucleophilic attack at the intronic 5' splice site, thus starting the first of two transesterification reactions that mediate splicing. Lineage: Eukaryota; Metazoa; Chordata; Mammalia; Carnivora; Ursidae. The record is from Ensembl.